AAAAAUAAAAAAUUAAAUUAAAUUCAAAUAUGAUUGAGGUGGGGUUGAGUUUUCUAUUAAAUUGUUUUUGGAGAGGGAACCUGACACCUAUGGAUGUUUGAGUUUAAAGCGCAUAUCAAUGUCUUUAAAUUUUUUGCGCGCUUUUGAAAUCAUGGUAAUUAUUAUGGUAUGAUUAUUGUAUUCUGCGCGCUUUUGAAAUCAUGGUAAUUAUUAUGAUAUGAUUAUUGUACUUCGAUACUUGUAAGUGUUUUCAUGGUGUAAUAUUUGAAAAUUAAAUGGAAAUAAUUUAAUUUAAUUCUGAAAUGAUUGUGGAUAAAGCUAAACUUUAAACUAGACAUCCACAAGUGUUUAAGUUUUGAUUAAAUAUUAAUGAAAAUAUAAAUUAAAGUUGACAUUCAUUGGUGUCGAGUUUCACUUAAAAACUCAAACACAACUUUAAUUUUUAAACAUAUAAAUAUGCAAUCAAACUUGUUAGAUUUUGAUAGAAAAUCAAAACAAAUUGUGUUCUAUGUUCAAUUAGAGGUGUGUUGAUCUUAGAAAAGUUUGGCAAUUUAGGGUGAGUUAGGAUGGGCGGUGCGUUUACCUGCGGUUAGUGUAAAAACAACAGUGGCGGUGAGAUUAGAUACUGUAGCGACACUGUAGUGUGAGACUAAAAGUAAACUAAACGCACUGCACUGCACCUAAUCGCCCAUCCAAACCCACCCUUAGUUUAUACCAUAUACCUCCCGUUAUCAAAUUUUCGAAUGGUUGGUACAUAAAGUUGAGAAUUUGUCAUUUUGGCUUGCCCCUAUACAAGGCGUUGUACAAGGGAUGUAAAGUGGGGAACGAGAAAGUGAAUAGUUUCCUUGUGAUUUUACAGUUGUGUAGAUGAUAUCAACUUCUGUUCUCUCUUAGGUUUUUUCCAGCUAGAAGGUAAAAGUAGAAUCACUACUUCAAAAACCCAUUAUUUUUAUGUGUUUUAUUUAUACUGAUAUUUUGUAAUUUAUUAGGUGAUUUAAGCAUUUUGAUCAUACAACACACCAAUCGAUACAAGGAGUAAUUAAUAGGGAAUCCAAUAAUUUGUUUUUGUAGAUAGCGCACCAAGUGGGAGAGAUUGCAACUAUAUUAUAUGCUUUUGCUGUGUACACACAUCCCUUAUAUGCUUUUCUUGCUUCGAGUGACAUUAGUUGUGUUGGGUAUUACAACAGUUUGGGAUAGUCCAAGAAAUUUUAGCAGAUCUAGAGAACAUGGAUUACUAUCAUCCUAUAAAUUUGUAUUUGGUUUAGAAGCGCAAUUGGACCGUUAAAUUUGUACGACACGUGACACAUUGGAGUAAUCAUCUCCAACAUAGGCCACAAAGUUCAUUGAUCGAGAAUGACUAUUUUGCAGUUUUCGAGAUAUAUAUGAAAUGGUUUAGGGUCAACAGUAAACCGCACAUGUAU
Gossypium raimondii (Peruvian cotton) is the source of this 1421-nucleotide long non-coding RNA. RefSeq lists it as uncharacterized. NCBI's taxonomy places the organism in Eukaryota, Viridiplantae, Streptophyta, Magnoliopsida, Malvales, Malvaceae. The transcript is spliced from 2 exons. The record is from RefSeq and is a predicted model, not a curated record.